GAUAAACGUUUGCGGCGUGCCUGAUGCAUGCAAGUCGAACGCCCUGAUUUUUCGCAAGAUUGAUCAGGGAGUGGCGAACGGCUGAGUAACGCGUAAGUAACCUACCCCUAAGUGGGGGAUAACUUGCCGAAAGGCAGGCUAAUACCGCAUGUGCUGGUAAGCGUCAGUUUAUCAGCAAAGCUUUUGCGCUUGGGGAGGGGCUUGCGUCUGAUUAGCUAGUUGGUAGGGUAAUGGCCUACCAAGGCGACGAUCAGUAGCUGGUCUGAGAGGAUGAUCAGCCACACUGGGACUGAGACACGGCCCAGACUCCUACGGGAGGCUG
RNAcentral lists this ribosomal RNA (322 nucleotides) under uncultured Chloroflexota bacterium. Its description in RNAcentral is "bacterial SSU rRNA". It matches the Rfam family "Bacterial small subunit ribosomal RNA", at positions 28 to 351 of the family's 1533-position model. Lineage: Bacteria; Bacillati; Chloroflexota. The record is from RNAcentral.